CGGCUCGCCCCGCCCGGGGCUGCCGGGGCCCGGAGGCCCGGGCGGCGGGGGAGGGGCGGCCUCUGCGGCAGCUUGACCCCCGCUCCCCUUCUUCGCGGCCUGAUGAGUGGAUGGCGCUCCCUUGAGAAAAGUAAUUGGAUUCCCGGCUCCCUCCAGCCGGAAUCGGCGGAAAUCGGAGGCUGAGCCUGCAGGCCGCGGUAGAAAGCUGGGUGGUAAGGAAGGAUCAACGGAGAUUACCCCUGGUGCCCCAACCACCUGGCACGUGACUCCUGCCCCUCCAAGUUGUCAUCAUUACGAAAUUCACCUGGUUGCUGAUCUCCGGGAAGAGAAAUAAUUUGGAACGUUUGAGUCUUUCAGCCACCACCACCUCGUUUUUCUCUCAGAGCUCUACUUGGAGCAAAGAUGGAGAAAGAGCCCUGCCAAAUCUGGGAUCGGAGAUAACGCUCGUUAACCGGGUACCUCGGGAGAAAAUAACAUUCUCACCAGAGUCAUUCAGGAAGUUCUCUACUCAAGGCUAUGCAGGUGCUCCUGACUGGCCAAGGGCAGGUUAUGUACCUGAAUCCAGGCUGCAAAGUAUGGAUGAUUUCAUUUAUUUAUUUGACAGAGAGAGAGACAGCCAGC
Long non-coding RNA from Ailuropoda melanoleuca (giant panda), 621 nucleotides. RefSeq lists it as uncharacterized. The transcript has 4 exons. The record is from RefSeq and is a predicted model, not a curated record. Lineage: Eukaryota; Metazoa; Chordata; Mammalia; Carnivora; Ursidae.